GUGGGGAAUAUUGGACAAUGGGGGGAACCCUGAUCCAGCCAUGCCGCGUGUGUGAAGAAGGCCUUUUGGUUGUAAAGCACUUUAAGCGAGGAGGAGGCUACCGAGAUUAAUACUCUUGGAUAGUGGACGUUACUCGCAGAAUAAGCACCGGCUAACUCUGAGCCAGCAGCCGCGGUAAUACAGAGGGUGCAAGCGUUAAUCGGAUUUACUGGGCGUAAAGCGCGCGUAGGUGGCCAAUUAAGUCAAAUGUGAAAUCCCCGAGCUUAACUUGGGAAUUGCAUUCGAUACUGGUUGGCUAGAGUAUGGGAGAGGAUGGUAGAAUUCCAGGUGUAGCGGUGAAAUGCGUAGAGAUCUGGAGGAAUACCGAUGGCGAAGGCAGCCAUCUGGCCUAAUACUGACACUGAGGUGCGAAAGCAUGGGGAGCAAACAGGAUUAGAUACCCGGGUAGUCC
RNAcentral lists this ribosomal RNA (451 nucleotides) under uncultured bacterium. RNAcentral's name for it is "partial 16S ribosomal RNA". It matches the Rfam family "Bacterial small subunit ribosomal RNA", at positions 354 to 796 of the family's 1533-position model. The record is from RNAcentral.